AGAGUUUGAUCAUGGCUCAGGAUGAACGCUCGGCGGCGUGCUUAAUACAUGCAAGUCGAGCGAACCACUUCGGUGGUGAGCGGCGAACGGGUGAGUAACACGUAGGUGAUCUGCCCAUCAGACGGGGACAACGAUUGGAAACGAUCGCUAACACCGGAUAGGACGAAAGUUUAAAGGUGCUUCUGGCACCGCUGAUGGAUGAGCCUGCGGCGCAUUAGCUAGUUGGUAGGGUAAAGGCCUACCAAGGCGACGAUGCGUAGCCGACCUGAGAGGGUGAACGGCCACACUGGGACUGAGACACGGCCCAGACCCCUACGGGAGGCAGCAGUAGGGAAUCUUCGGCAAUGGGCGAAAGCCUGACCGAGCAACGCCGCGUGAAUGAUGAAGGCCUUCGGGUUGUAAAAUUCUGUUAUAAGGGAAGAACGACUUUAGUAGGAAAUGGCUAGAGUGUGACGGUACCUUAUGAGAAAGCCACGGCUAACUACGUGCCAGCAGCCGCGGUAAUACGUAGGUGGCGAGCGUUAUCCGGAAUUAUUGGGCGUAAAGAGCGCGCAGGUGGUUGAUUAAGUCUGAUGUGAAAGCCCACGGCUUAACCGUGGAGGGUCAUUGGAAACUGGUCGACUUGAGUGCAGAAGAGGGAAGUGGAAUUCCAUGUGUAGCGGUGAAAUGCGUAGAGAUAUGGAGGAACACCAGUGGCGAAGGCGGCUUCCUGGUCUGUAGCUGACACUGAGGCGCGAAAGCGUGGGGAGCAAACAGGAUUAGAUACCCUGGUAGUCCACGCCGUAAACGAUGAGUGUUAAGUGUUGGGGGUCGAACCUCAGUGUCUGAAGUU
This 832-nucleotide ribosomal RNA is filed under the name uncultured bacterium. RNAcentral's name for it is "bacterial SSU rRNA". It matches the Rfam family "Bacterial small subunit ribosomal RNA", at positions 8 to 853 of the family's 1533-position model. The record is from RNAcentral.